RNAcentral lists this ribosomal RNA (1476 nucleotides) under Escherichia coli. Its description in RNAcentral is "bacterial SSU rRNA". It matches the Rfam family "Bacterial small subunit ribosomal RNA". The record is from RNAcentral. Lineage: Bacteria; Pseudomonadati; Pseudomonadota; Gammaproteobacteria; Enterobacterales; Enterobacteriaceae.
CUGGCUGGAAGCAUGACUACACAUGCAGUCGUACCAGAUAGACAGCGCACAGCAGCUUGCUGCUUUGCUGAAGAGUGGCGGACGGGUGAGUAAAAUGUCUGAGAAACCCCCCGAGGGAGGGGGAUAACUAUCGGGAAACGGUAGCUAAUACCCCAAAACCCCGCACACACCAAAGAGGGGGACCUUCGGGCCUUCUUCCCAUCGGAUGUCCCCCAGAGGGGAUUAGCUUAGUAGGUGGGGAAACGGCUCACCUAGGGCGACGAUCCCCAAGCUGGUCUGAGAGGAUGACCAGCCACACGGGAACUGAGACACGGUCCAGACUCCUACGGGAGGCAGCAGUGGGGAAUAUUGCACAAUGGGCGCAAGCCUGAUGCAGCCAUGCCGCGUGUAUGAAGAAGGCCUUCGGGUUGUAAAGUACUUUCAGCGGGGAGGAAGGGAGUAAAGUUAAUACCUUUGCUCAUUGACGUUACCCGCAGAAGAAGCACCGGCUAACUCCGUGCCAGCAGCCGCGGUAAUACGGAGGGUGCAAGCGUUAAUCGGAAUUACUGGGCGUAAAGCGCACGCAGGCGGUUUGUUAAGUCAGAUGUGAAAUCCCCGGGCUCAACCUGGGAACUGCAUCUGAUACUGGCAAGCUUGAGUCUCGUAGAGGGGGGUAGAAUUCCAGGUGUAGCGGUGAAAUGCGUAGAGAUCUGGAGGAAUACCGGUGGCGAAGGCGGCCCCCUGGACGAAGACUGACGCUCAGGUGCGAAAGCGUGGGGAGCAAACAGGAUUAGAUACCCUGGUAGUCCACGCCGUAAACGAUGUCGACUUGGAGGUUGUGCCCUUGAGGCGUGGCUUCCGGAGCUAACGCGUUAAGUCGACCGCCUGGGGAGUACGGCCGCAAGGUUAAAACUCAAAUGAAUUGACGGGGGCCCGCACAAGCGGUGGAGCAUGUGGUUUAAUUCGAUGCAACGCGAAGAACCUUACCUGGUCUUGACAUCCACGGAAGUUUUCAGAGAUGAGAAUGUGCCUUCGGGAACCGUGAGACAGGUGCUGCAUGGCUGUCGUCAGCUCGUGUUGUGAAAUGUUGGGUUAAGUCCCGCAACGAGCGCAACCCUUAUCCUUUGUUGCCAGCGGUCCGGCCGGGAACUCAAAGGAGACUGCCAGUGAUAAACUGGAGAAAGGGUGGGGAAGAACGUCAAGUCAUCAGGGCCCUUACAACCAGGGCUACACACGUGCUACAAUGGCGCCAAACAAAGAAAAACGACCUCGCGCAGAGAAAACGGACCUCAAAAAGGGCGCCCAACCCCGGAUUGGAGUCUGCAACUCGACUCCAUGAAGUCGGAAUCGCUAGUAAUCGUGGAUCAGAAUGCCACGGUGAAUACGUUCCCGGGCCUUGUACACACCGCCCGUCACACCAUGGGAGUGGGUUGCAAAAGAAGUAGGAUAGGUUAGACUCUCCGCUCGGGAUCAAACAGUAGCUGCGAUGCUGCUGGG